GACGAACGCUGGCGGCGUGCUUAACACAUGCAAGUCGAACGGAAAGGCCCUGCUUUUGUGGGGUUCUCGAGUGGCGAACGGGUGAGUAACACGUGAGUAACCUGCCCUUGACUUUGGGAUAACUUCAGGAAACUGGGGCUAAUACCGGAUAGGAGCUCCUGCUGCAUGGUGGGGGUUGGAAAGUUUCGGCGGUUGGGGAUUGACUCGCGGCUUAUCAGCUUGUUGGUGGGGUAGUGGCUUACCAAGGCUUUGACGGGUAGCCGGCCUGAGAGGGUGACCGGCCACAUUGGGACUGAGAUACGGCCCAGACUCCUACGGGAGGCAGCAGUGGGGAAUAUUGCACAAUGGGCGGAAGCCUGAUGCAGCAACGCCGCGUGCGGGAUGACGGCCUUCGGGUUGUAAACCGCUUUCGCCUGUGACGAAGCGUGAGUGACGGUAAUGGGUAAAGAAGCACCGGCUAACUACGUG
RNAcentral lists this ribosomal RNA (468 nucleotides) under uncultured bacterium. Its description in RNAcentral is "partial 16S ribosomal RNA". It matches the Rfam family "Bacterial small subunit ribosomal RNA", at positions 28 to 507 of the family's 1533-position model. The record is from RNAcentral.